This 21-nucleotide non-coding RNA is filed under the name Arabidopsis thaliana (thale cress). The record is from RNAcentral. Lineage: Eukaryota; Viridiplantae; Streptophyta; Magnoliopsida; Brassicales; Brassicaceae.
UUAGCUUCACCAGAACCACCA